Molecule: ribosomal RNA, 466 nt
Filed under: uncultured bacterium
Lineage: Bacteria
Description: partial 16S ribosomal RNA
Rfam family: Bacterial small subunit ribosomal RNA
Source: RNAcentral
GAUGAACGCUGGCGGCGUGCUUAACACAUGCAAGUCGAACGAUGAAGCCCAGCUUGCUGGGUGGAUUAGUGGCGAACGGGCGAGUAACACGUGAGUAACCUGCCCUUGACUCUGGGAUAAGCCCGGGAAACUGGGUCUAAUACCGGAUAGGAGCGCCUGUCGCAUGACGGGUGCUGGAAAGAUUUUUCGGUCAUGGAUGGACUCGCGGCCUAUCCGCUUGUUGGUGAGGUAAUGGCUAACCAAGGCGACGACGGGUAGCCGGCCUGAGAGGGUGACCGGCCACACUGGGACUGAGAGACGGCCCAGACUCCUACGGGAGGCAGCAGUGGGGAAUAUUGCACAAUGGGCGGAAGCCUGAUGCAGCGGCGCCGCGUGAGGGAUGACGGCCUUCGGGUUGUAAACCUCUUUCAGUAGGGAAGAAGCGAAAGUGACGGUACCUGCAGAAGAAGCACCGGCUAACUACGUG